RNAcentral lists this ribosomal RNA (305 nucleotides) under uncultured bacterium. RNAcentral describes it as "bacterial SSU rRNA". It matches the Rfam family "Bacterial small subunit ribosomal RNA", at positions 332 to 635 of the family's 1533-position model. The record is from RNAcentral.
CGGCGCCUACGGGACGCAGCAGUGGGGAAUAUUGGUCAAUGGACGAAAGUCUGAACCAGCCAUGCCGCGUGCAGGAAGACGGCUCUAUGAGUUGUAAACUGCUUUUGUACAAGGGUAAACCUGAAUACGUGUAUUCAGCUGAAAGUACUGUACGAAUAAGGAUCGGCUAACUCCGUGCCAGCAGCCGCGGUAAUACGGAGGAUCCAAGCGUUAUCCGGAUUUAUUGGGUUUAAAGGGUGCGUAGGCGGAUUGAUAAGUUAGAGGUGAAAUGUCCGGGCUCAACUCGGGAACUGCCUCUAAUACUG